This is a long non-coding RNA of Lytechinus pictus (painted urchin), 3157 nucleotides long. RefSeq lists it as uncharacterized. The record is from RefSeq and is a predicted model, not a curated record. Lineage: Eukaryota; Metazoa; Echinodermata; Echinoidea; Temnopleuroida; Toxopneustidae. The transcript has 3 exons.
GUGUGCGGCUGCAGCAAGGAACAGUACUAUACUCUAAAGCAACGGGUAGAGGAGAGUAAACAGAGGAUAAACCUAAUGGAGAGCGAGUUCCUACAGAGUACUCUCUACACAGAGAAUGAGCUGGAUGAAUGCAGGGAGGAGUACAGGCUGCUCCAGCAAAAAUAUAAUGCAUUGGAAAAAAGUCAUCAGGAAUUACAUGAAAUCAACCAGGAUUUAGAGGAGAGAAUUCUUGAUGUCGAAAGAGAGACACAACUGCUUUAUGAAGACCAGGUAAAAUAUAAAAAACCAAGACAAUUCUUGUAUCUUUCAUUAUCAGAAUAUUUAUUUGCACACAUUGUAAACAUACAGUAUAUUCUUCAUUUAAACCUCAUUUUGAAAUGAAAACUUUUAAAAUUUUCCUUUCAAACUCCCAUGGAUGCUGUGAACUUGCACUCAAUCAGUGUGUGAUUUUUGUGUGAAUUUAUUAUUUCUUAAAAGUUCAUGGUAUGUUAUUGUUCAUCAAUAUAUUUAUUGGAUUUCUUUUGUUUUGUGAGUGAGUGUAAUCCCAUUGGAAACCCACCCUUACGGUGUUAAAAGCAAAAUCAUGAGUUUCAAAGCAUUAGCGUCUGAUUGUCAUGAUCAUCGAAUCGAAAAGAUUGUACUUUAUAGUAUCAUGUUUCUUCUCUUUUGCCAUUUUCAAGGAAUGUAUCUGUUGCAGUAAUGGUUUUGUUUGGAAGCAUGGAGAUAAUUGUUGGAAGUUGUAUCUUUGUUCUGUUUCUUUUCAUUUCAUAAAGUCCCUUGUGUGUUCCAAAAUGAUAUGCUACAAAUUAUGAAGCAGAAAACCAGACUUUAUAUAUUCUUUUCUCAUACUAGUACAAUCAACUUUUUUUGUUUUAAAUGUUUAUGUCCAUUUUGAUUUUUUUUUAAAGAUAUAUUUUCAGUUCAUACAUUUUUUAUGCUAGAACAUUAAAUCUUUCCUGUCUUUCAAAAUGCAAAAUUGAUUUCAGCGUCCCUCUGCCCCUGAAAAAUAAACUAAAAAAUAUCUGUAUAUUAAGAUUAUGAAAUUAUCUCAUAAUUAUGAAAAAAAAUCAGAUCCUUAUUGAAUCAGGCUACUUAUUUAAUUUGAAAAAAAAAUGAAACAACAUUCCGCUGCUGUAAAUAAUUACUUACAUAUAUGAAUCACUCAUUAAUUAAAUAUUCCUGGUACUUUUCCUUAAAUUUUCUGUCAGCAUUUUCAAUAUAUGAAAACUAUAAACUUGUUGUUUAAGUUGAUAUUGCAUAAUGCUUUUUCCACUACAAAUGGAAAUUUAGAUUACAAAUUUUUCAUCAUAUGAUACAUAUUUUAUUCCCAUACUAGCCGUCAUUUUUUGUACAAAUUCUUCUACUACUCAUGUUUCCAUCAUUACUUUCUCAUCAAACUGCUCUUUUAAGCAACCCUAAGUUUUCCUAUUUGUUUCAUUUGCUUUUUAUCUCUACAAACACAAAAUUAAAACUCUACUUCAUACCAAGAUAUCAUUUAUGAUAUUUAUCAUUAUUUACAAGGAUCAUGGAAUGCUUUACAACAAAUAACUUGUUUUCCUUUUUAUUUCAUUUAAUGUUUAUAUCUAAAGACAUCAUCAAGCAUAUUUCUCAUUAUUUACAACAUCAAAUAAUGUUACAACAAAUCCGCUGGUAUACCCUCUAAACUUUUAUAGAAAUUAUACAUUGCUCUUGUAUCGGACUACCACUUGUAGACAUCAGUGUUUGUACGGAAGUGAAGGGUUGGAUUCCUCUCUGCGAUUCAUGGUUAGUUAAAACAUUGUAAAAAAAAUUAAAGUUUCAGAGCUUCUCUCCCUGCAUGAAACCGCCAAGCUGCAUUUCAAGUUACCAAUUCUCACAUUUCAUCAUAGGUAAAAAAUGGGGAAUACGGGGAAAGCUGCUUUGGAAAGCGCUUUUAUUGCAGGAUUCCUGCAAAGUCACAGACUUUUGAAAAGGUGUCCAACAUGUCAAAUUUCACAGGGGUGUAUUACAGCAACAUUUAUUUUUAUCUUAUCUUGCCAUAGAAUCUCAAACCUCUAUAAAAAUUUCUUUGAAUUGAUUGUCUAUCUAUAGUGUAUGGAUGUUAUGUUAUUUUUGUAUAGUUUGUGUGGGUUUCGCAUAAUUUCUUACUGUUCUCAAGUUUCAGUUCUUUCAUUUAAUUUGGCGAUUCAUCACCUCCUAAAAGCUUUUCUAUCUCAAAUGCUUAAAAUAACUGCUGACUUAAAGAUAAAUAUGGUCACAAGUAAGUAAUAUGAAAAAAUUUGUAGCCUUUAUUCCAAUGCGCAUUUACAUUUAUUAUUCAGAACUACAUUGUAUAAGGACUUUCAAGCCUGUCUAAAGUUUUGGCAUUCAUUUAAAAUUCCAAUCUUACAAAAAGUGUAUUGGUCAUUGUUUUUUUUUUUCAACCAUUUAAUUAGAUCUUUGUGAAAAAAAAAUUGUAUUUUGUGCCCUCUCUCAGUAAGGUGUUUAUUUUUCUGUAAGAACUUAAAAUGCUAAUUUUUAUGAAAGAUUUAGUUAUUGGAUAUCAGAAAGGCACAGUCAAAGAUUAUAUCCUGAAAUUUUAGCCCUUUUCUUGCUUGAGAAAAAGGAUUAAUAUUUUCACAUUCAUAUGAUGUAAUUGGAGUAAAGACAUGCUUUUAAGGAGAUUGUCCAAACUUUAAUAUAGGAUUGAAGUCUAUGUUGAGUGUGUGAGUUAAUAUCCCUUUGGCUACAAAUAGUCUCUUUAUUUUGUUCUAUAGUCAUCAAUCUGGAAAUGGAAUGAUCCAUAUUUCACAAAAUUAAACUUGUUUUUUCCGUAAUGAUGGAGUUCCAUCUUAUUUCCCAAAUAAAAAAUCACAUUUAAAGAGCUGAACUUGUAUAAUGUAUAAAGCUAUUAGAGACCAUAUAACAGUGUACAUGUAGAAUUGUAGAUACACAUCUUUUGAUGAUUUUCGUGUAACACUUUUCAUGUCAGUUGAAUUUUUUUCACAUUUUCAUCAAUUUCUCUUAACUUUAUUUUAUUUUAAGGGUCUUUUAAAUAUUUUACAUGCACCAGCAUGAGCAAUUUCAGCAUCAGUAUGUCUCUCUAUCGUCAUAUUUGAUGAUAUUAAUUUUGAUUGUCAUAUUAGUGAUGUUUAUUUGGAAUCGGGCUAGAGUAUAUAAACCCAGAAACAGUUUCAUU